This 438-nucleotide ribosomal RNA is filed under the name Capnocytophaga granulosa. Its description in RNAcentral is "bacterial SSU rRNA". It matches the Rfam family "Bacterial small subunit ribosomal RNA", at positions 28 to 472 of the family's 1533-position model. The record is from RNAcentral. Lineage: Bacteria; Pseudomonadati; Bacteroidota; Flavobacteriia; Flavobacteriales; Flavobacteriaceae.
GAUGAACGCUAGCGGCAGGCCUAACACAUGCAAGUCGAGGGAGAAGCCCUUCGGGGCAGAAACCAGCGCACGGGUGCGUAACGCGUAUGCAACCUACCUUUCACAGGGGGAUAGCCCGAAGAAAUUUGGAUUAAUACCCCAUAAUAUUAUUGGGUGGCAUCAUUUGAUAAUUAAAAUUACGAUGGUGAAAGAUGGGCAUGCGUCCUAUUAGCUAGUUGGAGUGGUAACGGCACCCCAAGGCUACGAUAGGUAGGGGUCCUGAGAGGGAGAUCCCCCACACUGGUACUGAGACAGGGACCAGACUCCUACGGGAGGCAGCAGUGAGGAAUAUUGGUCAAUGGUCGGAAGACUGAACCAGCCAUGCCGCGUGCAGGAAGAAUGCCUUAUGGGUUGUAAACUGCUUUUAUAUGGGAAGAAUAAGGAGUACGUGUACUUUGA